RNAcentral lists this ribosomal RNA (1360 nucleotides) under Vibrio sp. RNAcentral's name for it is "bacterial SSU rRNA". It matches the Rfam family "Bacterial small subunit ribosomal RNA", at positions 84 to 1440 of the family's 1533-position model. Lineage: Bacteria; Pseudomonadati; Pseudomonadota; Gammaproteobacteria; Vibrionales; Vibrionaceae. The record is from RNAcentral.
AACGGCGUCGAGCGGCGGACGGGUGAGUAAUGCCUGGGAAAUUGCCCUGAUGUGGGGGAUAACCAUUGGAAACGAUGGCUAAUACCGCAUAAUAGCUUCGGCUCAAAGAGGGGGACCUUCGGGCCUCUCGCGUCAGGAUAUGCCCAGGUGGGAUUAGCUAGUUGGUGAGGUAAUGGCUCACCAAGGCGACGAUCCCUAGCUGGUCUGAGAGGAUGAUCAGCCACACUGGAACUGAGACACGGUCCAGACUCCUACGGGAGGCAGCAGUGGGGAAUAUUGCACAAUGGGCGCAAGCCUGAUGCAGCCAUGCCGCGUGUAUGAAGAAGGCCUUCGGGUUGUAAAGUACUUUCAGCAGUGAGGAAGGUGGUAGUGUUAAUAGCACUAUCAUUUGACGUUAGCUGCAGAAGAAGCACCGGCUAACUCCGUGCCAGCAGCCGCGGUAAUACGGAGGGUGCGAGCGUUAAUCGGAAUUACUGGGCGUAAAGCGCAUGCAGGUGGUUUGUUAAGUCAGAUGUGAAAGCCCGGGGCUCAACCUCGGAAUUGCAUUUGAAACUGGCAGACUAGAGUACUGUAGAGGGGGGUAGAAUUUCAGGUGUAGCGGUGAAAUGCGUAGAGAUCUGAAGGAAUACCGGUGGCGAAGGCGGCCCCCUGGACAGAUACUGACACUCAGAUGCGAAAGCGUGGGGAGCAAACAGGAUUAGAUACCCUGGUAGUCCACGCCGUAAACGAUGUCUACUUGGAGGUUGUGGCCUUGAGCCGUGGCUUUCGGAGCUAACGCGUUAAGUAGACCGCCUGGGGAGUACGGUCGCAAGAUUAAAACUCAAAUGAAUUGACGGGGGCCCGCACAAGCGGUGGAGCAUGUGGUUUAAUUCGAUGCAACGCGAAGAACCUUACCUACUCUUGACAUCCACAGAACUUUCCAGAGACGGAUUGGUGCCUUCGGGAACUAUGAGACAGGUGCUGCAUGGCUGUCGUCAGCUCGUGUUGUGAAAUGUUGGGUUAAGUCCCGCAACGAGCGCAACCCUUAUCCUUGUUUGCCAGCGAGUAAUGUCGGGAACUCCAGGGAGACUGCCGGUGAUAAACCGGAGGAAGGUGGGGACGACGUCAAGUCAUCAUGGCCCUUACGAGUAGGGCUACACACGUGCUACAAUGGCGCAUACAGAGGGCGGCCAACUUGCGAAAGUGAGCGAAUCCCAAAAAGUGCGUCGUAGUCCGGAUUGGAGUCUGCAACUCGACUCCAUGAAGUCGGAAUCGCUAGUAAUCGUAGAUCAGAAUGCUACGGUGAAUACGUUCCCGGGCCUUGUACACACCGCCCGUCACACCAUGGGAGUGGGCUGCAAAAGAAGUGGGUAGUUUAACC